Strongylocentrotus purpuratus (purple sea urchin) is the source of this 344-nucleotide long non-coding RNA. RefSeq lists it as uncharacterized. NCBI's taxonomy places the organism in Eukaryota, Metazoa, Echinodermata, Echinoidea, Camarodonta, Strongylocentrotidae. The record is from RefSeq and is a predicted model, not a curated record. The transcript has 3 exons.
GUAAGUGAAUUUAUAUUACAAUAGAAGUUUGUCAAAUACAUCUCAGUUGAGCAGAAAAUCUUCAGGCGAACAUCGACAUCAAAGUGAUACCAUACGGAUACCAAAAAAAUCCUAUGCAACCAAAGCAGAUAAUGACCACAGAUGUGCAACAGAGACUACCAGUACCUGAUCAUCAUAUGUCAUGGUGUAGAUCUCAGGAACAGGACACCUACAUGUUGUCCAAUGCAGAAGGUUUGAUACCCAGGCUUCUUUCUAUCCACUCUCAUCUUGAGAACUCUUGAGAUCUCUACAUCAGCACGCUACAUCACAAUGGGAAAUACAAGAGAGCCAGCAGUGUGACUGAG